GGGGGGUUGUCUGUAUUUGGCUGCAUAGACCGGUUGUCAACAGGCCCCGUCAACAAACCCUCGUCUCCAUAGAAACGUCCAAAUACACGGGAGAAGAGAGGCAGGCUCUCCGCCUCUGCAGCCGGUCAAAUAUCGUGGUGUUUUCCCUCCCUGGCCGUGGCUGCAGACUCAGCUCCACAUGCAUUAAGGCCAAGAUGUGAUGAGGAUUGGCUCAAAAUCGUCUCAGUUUCAAUAAAGGAAAUGUUCGACCUGCUGUUGGUUUGAGGCGUGACGUCAUCAGGCCACCCUGCAGCUCCUCUUCUCUGGGUGUUUGCAGAGAGAGAUGUAAUGGCUGAAUAAAGUGGCAGUGAUUCCAACUGGGAAAAUACAGGUGAUGAAGGGGUAACUGGGUUCAGGAAGGUAUACCACACUUCCUCCUCUUCUUCCUCCUCCUCCUCCUCCAGCAGCGCCUCGUUAAGCUCGUUACUGUUUUACACACUUCUGUAAAUGACUGAGAGGUUUCCUGAAGGCGAACAAAUCAAACACACCCAGUGAGGCGACGGCUGUGAAGCAGCAGCAUGACGCCGCGCCACCGCCAACACACACACACACACACACACACACACACACACACACACACACACACAUACACAUACACAUAAACCUGAUUAAAAACAACACUACACAUGUUGUG
This is a long non-coding RNA of Eleginops maclovinus (Patagonian blennie), 673 nucleotides long. RefSeq lists it as uncharacterized. NCBI's taxonomy places the organism in Eukaryota, Metazoa, Chordata, Actinopteri, Perciformes, Eleginopidae. The transcript has 4 exons. The record is from RefSeq and is a predicted model, not a curated record.